GGGCCCGCACAAGCGGUGGAGUAUGUGGUUUAAUUCGAUGCAACGCGAAGAACCUUACCAGGGUUUGACAUCCUGCGAAUCUUUUGGAAACAGGAGAGUGCCUUCGGGAACGCAGUGACAGGUGGUGCAUGGCUGUCGUCAGCUCGUGUCGUGAGAUGUUGGGUUAAGUCCCGCAACGAGCGCAACCCACGUCUUUAGUUGCCAGCAUUUAGUUGGGCACUCUAGAGAGACUGCCGGUGAUAAACCGGAGGAAGGUGUGGAUGACGUCAAGUCAUCACGGCCCUUACGUCCUGGGCCACACACGUGCUACAAUGGCCGGUACAGAGAGCAGCCACGUCGCAAGGCGGAGCGAAUCUAUAAAACCUAUCUCAGUUCGGAUCGGAGUCUGCAACUCGACUCCGUG
This 403-nucleotide ribosomal RNA is filed under the name uncultured bacterium. RNAcentral describes it as "bacterial SSU rRNA". It matches the Rfam family "Bacterial small subunit ribosomal RNA", at positions 917 to 1322 of the family's 1533-position model. The record is from RNAcentral.